UCGGAAUAAGAUCUACUUUGCUCUCUUUUCGAUUUCUUAUACUUUAUCGUUGUUAUUCUUGUGUUCUGAUUGUUUGGCGUGUGGUAUUAGCAGAUAUCCGGGACCUCUGGGAAAUAUAGGGUUUUCCUAGUUUCCUUAUUUAAACGGAAAUCGACAGUGCGAAUUUCGGUUCCCACAUACGGCAUCCAUGUGAUGAAACCAAUAUCUCACAGCCACCUAGAAAGUUAAGGAUGACAAAAACUAGUUAACAGCAACAUCUAAACAGGCAUAUCCUACCCCCCAAAAGGCAUCCAUCAAGAAACAUAAGAGGAUAGUGAUUCAGUCACAGUGAUCACAAAGUAGUAGUACCGAAAUUCAAGCAUUUGGAGACAAAGAUGAAUCAAUUGACGAGGUAUGAUUUUCAUAACAGAAACGAAUGAGAAGGGGGACUAAACAAAUGCAUAAAUAAAAAUGAAUAGAGGUAUUAUUUUCUUAACAGAAACGAAUGAGAAGGGGGUCUGAACAACCAAAAGCAGUAACUAAAACCUUGGCUCUAAGAUGACCAGCUGGGCUGCUGAAUUCAGGAAAAACAUGUUGCACUCCAGCUCGGAUUUGUAGGGUUCAGUUUGCCUAAGUUUAUCACAAAGUGUCCCAACAGCAAGUAGAGCACCAUCCUUUUGGCGAUAGGGCUUCUGUUCUAGAGGUGCUUCACCAUAUCUAAUCCAGAGAAACAAAGUAAUUAUAUCAUGUCGCAAUUGUAUAAUUAGAUCCUUCUCUAUAUUUGUAGUUACAGCUUGAGGGUACCUAUUAAAUAUGCC
Molecule: long non-coding RNA, 797 nt
Filed under: Brassica napus (rape)
Lineage: Eukaryota; Viridiplantae; Streptophyta; Magnoliopsida; Brassicales; Brassicaceae
Description: long non-coding RNA (BNAP_LNC017723)
Source: RNAcentral